GGCAGCAGUGGGGAAUCUUCCGCAAUGGGCGCAAGCCUGACGGAGCAACGCCGCGUGAGUGAAGAAGGCCUUCGGGUUGUAAAACUCUGUCAUCAGGGAAGAAGAAAGUGACGGUACCUGAGGAGGAAGCCCCGGCUAACUACGUGCCAGCAGCCGCGGUAAAACGUAGGGGGCGAGCGUUGUCCGGAAUUACUGGGCGUAAAGGGCGCGUAGGCGGUUAUCCAAGUCAGGGGUGAAAACCUUGGGCUCAACUCAGGGCCUGCCUCUGAAACUGGGUAACUUGAGGGCAGGAGAGGGGAGUGGAAUUCCCAGUGUAGCGGUGAAAUGCGUAGAUAUUGGGAGGAACACCAGUGGCGAAGGCGGCUCUCUGGCCUAACCCUGACGCUGAGGCGCGAAAGCGUGGGGAUCAAACAGGAUUAGAUACCCUGGUAGUCCACGCCGUAAACGAUGAGUGCUAGGUGU
Molecule: ribosomal RNA, 462 nt
Filed under: uncultured Bacillota bacterium
Lineage: Bacteria; Bacillati; Bacillota
Description: bacterial SSU rRNA
Rfam family: Bacterial small subunit ribosomal RNA
Source: RNAcentral